UGAGAUCAUGCCACUGCUCUCCAGGCUGGCCGACAGAGUGAGACUCAAAAAAAAAAAAAGAAAGGGAAUCUGGAAACAAGAGAAUGAAAAACUAAAUUUGUAAGGGAAGGAGCUCCCAGUGACUGUUCCCAGUGUCCUCUCCCCUGACAAAGCUUCCUAUAGUUUCACCCCAUUUCAAGGCAAUCAGGGAUGUUGCUUGGCAACCCCACCAGGAACAGUAGAGUGAGUUCUGUCCUAGUAGCAUUAAGGGUUGCUACUGCAGUCCUGAAAAGGCCCAAACUUUCCUUUAAAACCCCUCCUCCAACACAAGGGACACCAGCAAAUUGGAGGCACCUGGGAAGAGAGUCCUCUGAGGGGUAAGGUUGAAAAGAAGGCAGGUAAAGGGGAAAAUAAUCCAUCUAAAUUAGUAGAAAAAUGUAGAGAAAAUAUUAUUUUUAUUUUCUUCAAGCACUGCAAAAACUUGGUGGGUUAAGAGAGAUUUGUCGAGCCACGAACUUGGUGAGUCAGCUUCAUUGAAUUUUGAUGUGUCAAUUGAGGCCAGCAGGACAUGCCCAGUGUAUUAGUCCAUUUUCACACUGCUGAUGAAGACAUACCCGAGACUGGGAGGAAAAAGAGGUUUAAUUGGACUUACAAUUCCACAGGACUGGGGAGUCCUCAGAAUCAUGAUGGGAGGUGAAAGGCACUUCUUACAUGGCAGUGGCAAGAGAAAAAUGAGGAGGGAGCAAAAGUGGAAACCCCUGAUAAACCCAUCAGAUCUCGUGAGACUUAUUCACUAAUCAUGAGAAUACCACGGGAAAGACCAGCCCCCAUGAUUCAAUUACCUCCCCCGGAUCCCUCCCAUACAUGUGGGAAUUUGGGGAGAUUCAAGUUGAGAUUUGGGUGGGGACACAGCCAAACCAUAUCAUCCAGUUGCCAGCUGAGGUAGGCAAUCACUCCCAAUAGCUGCAGCCUCUUGGUUACCACCUACAAGUUCAAUCUCAAAGUAAGAUAUGGAGAAAAUAUUACCCCUAGUUGGUAGAGACUGAAGGUGUUAAAGUUCAACUCUAUGUUCAUUCAUUCAACACAUUUUUUUUGAGGUGUGCAGUUCAGAUAGGCAGUUGGGCAUUAGUUUUUAAACGUGAUACAUGUUAAAGAGAAGGAAGUUUAAGAUGUUAAUGGAGUGUAUGACAUGGACUCUUAACCUAGAUUGGACAGGGAGGGGAAGGUUUCAGAAAGCAUGAGAGGAUCUGAUGUUUAAUAGGAGUCUUGAAUGAUAAGUCAAAUUGAAUGAAAAGAGCAAAGGAAACAUUUUUCCAUGGGGAGUACAGAGCUUAGGCAGUGGUCCAGUCCAGCUGGAAAUGAGAGAAGUGGAUGAACUGGGGAUGGGGACGCAGAGUAUUAGUAGCAGAAGAUAAGGGUAUUAUGCAGUCAUAUGAUGAAGUCUUGCAAGUCAUAUGAGGAUUCUGGACUUUAUCCUAAGAGCUACUGGCAGCCAUUGCAAAAUUUCCAGCAUGACAGAAUAUAAUCAAAUGUACCCAGCAUCCAGUCAGCUUUUCUGCUAUCCCAUCCUACUCUAUUCUUGUACCACAGUAUUUGGAUCCCUGCUCCAGUCUCUUGAACUCCUUGAUUUCCUUCUUAGUUUCCCUGUCCCUGAAGUAAGGGAACUUUGCUAGUUUUUUGCCAUAUCCCCACUCCUUCUUUGAUGUAUAGAGUCCUGCUCUUGCACAUGAGCUUAUAGCAUCCAUUUACCUUUCAUUUCUUCUGUCUUUGCCUGUUACAAAACUAUCAGUCAUAGGGUUUAUCCCUGUCACCCAUUUCCAUGCACUAUUAUGGCUGUCCCUGAUGCUGUUUGAUUGGAUUACCUCUCUGUUACUCACUAUUAUCUUCAUCCUCCCUACACUAGGUAAAACCCACUGAAGUAGUUAUCUUCCCACACACUGUAGCAGCUGUGUGUGAACCCACUACUUGCCUGGGAACUGAUCCACUCCAAAAGACCUGUCUCAUUUUGAGUUCUGUCCAGAACAGUGAUGACCCAAAAUAUUCAUCCUAACCAUUCACCUUUUUAGAAUAGUGGCUAAGCACACUGCUUCUGGAGUCAAUUUUCCUUGUGAGUGAAUCUUGGCUUGCACUAUGACUUACUGGGUGAACUUCGGCAAGUCAGUUCAUCUCUCUGAGACUAAUUUUAUUAUUCUUACAUGAAGAUAUUGUUGCCCACCUUUUGGGGUUGUUGUGAAGAUUAAAAGAGACUAUGAAGAGAAAAUAUCUGGAAUAGCCUUGCACUAGUAGGAACAAAAUAAAUACUGGUUCCUCUUCACCCUUCCUCUGAAAGCACAUUACCUGCACAUAUUUCUGGUUUUGAUCCUUACAAUGCCUUUCUAAAAUUGGAGGAUCAAAGGAGAUUCUGCAUAUAAAGCACAGACAUAUAGUAAAAACAAAAUAAAUACAGCUAAUAUCAUUCACUAUUAGUAUUAAUGAAGCAGCAUACCCCAAUUGAGAGAUUAAUUGUGUCUUAUUUUCUUGAAUAUAGGCUCGUGAUUAAUGAACAAAAGGUAACCCCCCAUCAUGACAAUUCCUUUCUGUGUAUUCACAUGUACCAUGCACAUACUGCAGUAUUUGUCUUCUAAGAUCUCUUUUCCAUCUUUGAGAAGGACCAGCAGCCUCUAAAACCUUCCUCUUAGUUUCAGAGGCUGUCCUGAAAAAACAACAACAACAAACUUUCCUUUUAGUUUCAGAGGCUGUCCUGAAAACAACAAUAACAACAACAACACAACAACAACAACAACAACUCCCCCUGAGAGAUUAACAGAAUAGCUGAGUUGAAAAUCUUCAUUGCUGCCAUUCUUAUCCCAGUUUAGAAAAAUGGCAUCCAUGCAGCAGUAGAUAGUGAUGAUUACUAUUAUGGGCUGAAUCGUAUACCGCUAAAAGUCAUGUGUUUUAAGUCUGAACCCUCAAUACUUCUAAAUAUGACUAUGUUUUGAGAUAGGACCUUUAGAGAGAUGAUUACAGUAAAAUGAGGUUUUAGAGUGAGUUCUCAUUCAAUCUGACUAGUAGCCUUAUAGAAAGAGACAAUUUGGACCCAUAAAGAAACACCAGGGUUGUGAGUCCACAGAGAAAAGGCUUUGUGAGUACAUCGCAAGAAGAUGGUCAUCAACAGACCAAGGAAAGUGGCCUCAGAAAAUUCUGAAACUGCUGACACUUUGAUUUUAGAACUGCUGGCCUCCCAAACUUUGAGAAAAUACAUGUAUGUUGUUUAAGUAACCCAAUGGUAUUUUGUUAUGGAAGCCCUAGCAAAUGAAUACAGUGGCACAUUAAAAAUUAGGCAAUCAUUGUAGAGGUAGGGAGAGACCAGGUGGAGAGAGACAAGUGUUUGAAUCAAAAGAGAGAUGGUUGUUUGGGCAAUCCUGGCUCAGAUGUCCUGAGAAUGGGUGGAUAGAGACCUGUACUUUGCUUUCCUACAGAGAACUGGAUCAAUGCAACUGCUGCCUUAGGUCAGCUUGGAAAAUGGAUGCCUGGUGUGUGCCCUUGAGGCCAGUAUCUAGGUCCUCUUGUGAAGACUGUAAGACCAUUAAGAGGACACUACAAGUGGCCUCAGUGUGACUGCAUGGAACAGCACCCUCAAAGGAUGCCUUCACAGCAUUUCCAGAGACUGGUUGCAAGGCCGUGGUUUGACCAUUAACCAGACGUCUGCCUCAUUUUCCUGGGGCCGUAUGUGCAGAAUUGAUGCAAUCUCCAAAAGGAGGUUCCAGGGAGCUUCAUUAAUGAGUGCAAUGGUCAUCCUGCUAAUCAGAGAUGCACGAACAGAGGCCCAAGCAGUAAAGAGACCUCACCAAGGUCAUGCUGUGAGUCAAUUGCAGAGACAAGGCAAGAUUGAAAACAUUUGACUCCAAUUCCAAUGCUCUGCUGAAAGCCCAUGUAGAUAUUUAACAUCUUUUCUGCCUGGGCCAGAAUGCGCAGAAUUAUCUAGUGUGACAAAUCCUCUUUUCCUCUGUCCCUGUGCAAAGGGAAUUGCCAUCUUCUGUGAUCAUCAAGCUGGCAACAUCAAUCUGGAAGUUUGUUAAUGACACUGACCUAAAUCUGUCACGUUGCAAGAAACUCUUCACAGCAGCUGGGAUUUGCUCCCAUAUAACAGCUUUAUGGGCCAUGGACCAUGCUGUACCAGUUUGACCAGAUAGCUUCUGCUAAUAAGUGUUGUUUAUGGUGAAGCCCUGUUUUUGCUCUGGAGACCUGGAAUCAAAAUAGUUGAGAUCAGUUACACAGCUGUUGCAUGUCUAUGUAACCAGUCCCUGCUAAAAAUUCUGGACAUCAAGACUCAGGUGAGCUUCCCUGUGAGUCAACACUUCACAUAUAUUAUCACACAUUGUUGCUCGGAGAAUUAAAGUGGCCAUGUCACUCCACAAGGACUGGACACCUGGAAGCUUGCACAAGCAGUUUCGCUUGUACUUCACCCUAUACAACUUUUCCCUUCGCUGAUUUUAGUUUGUGUUUUUUUGCUGUAAUACUCUUUAACAGUUAAUAUGAAAACUUCUGUGAGUUCUUCCAGUAAAUUGUCAAGCCUCAGGGUAGUCAUGGGCACCCCUAUAUAACUAUCUGCUUCCCCACUCAUCAUCUUUAUUCCUCUUCACAUUCCUGAGAGCAACUGAGCUGGCAUAUCCAUUCUGUGAAUAAGGAUUCCUAGGCUCACUAAGGUAAAGUGCCUCUUUGAUGGUGUUUUAGGGGGUCCAAAGUCACUUGCAGUCUAAAUCAGCUAACCUUGAGAAUGGUUAAACAGUUGCAGAUCUAUGUUGUGCCUGUCACACUGAAAAAGGAGAGGACUGUGGAUGUGGCUUAGGUGCACACCAUAAAGGCUCUCUAUGACUACACCCCAGAAUUACGAGUAUACCCGCCCAGUCACAAACGGCCCUGGAUGACUAUAGUCCUCUGUGAGGAAUGAGUUUCACUCCCAAGCUUAUAGCAUGUUAGGGAGAAGACUGAUGCACUACUUUGCAAGGAGACACAGCCUAGAAAGUCACUUGAUCUCUCAAACACAACCAUCAGAACACUCACUGCAUUCUUACGUGAGGAAUAAGUGAGGAAGCAGAGAUGCAUGAAACAUGCUUCUGAUUAAUAGUUGCCCUUCUAUGCAGACUCAGUGAUAGAGAGGAAAGAAAAUUGCUUGGAUAUUUCAGGAAGUCAGCAGUGCUGCCAGAACUAGAACUCCCAGUGUUCCUGGAGGCCAGGACAUGUCCUCCGACAACAUUCUACAUUGACCUCAUGGCAAACACUGUGCGUUUUACUGUUGACUUCCAACUCUGAGGGUCUCCAUGACAUAAGAUACUGCCAAUGCUUAAAAUGCAAAACAAACAAAAAAAAGCAAUAAAUAACCUUCAUUGAACUCAAUUAGCACCAUAUAGUUGAGGAAAACAACCCCCCUCCCUACAGACCCAGGACUAUUUCUAAAAGACUGUGCCUGAAAUAUAAGAUAAGCAUAAAUCUUUAGUCUUCUCAAGCUGUUUUGCCUCUAUCAGAAUGUGGCCAGAUAUUCAGACUUAGCCCCAUCAGCCACUUCUUAGUCCUGUCUCAACUGUCUCCCCUUUAAUACACUUAAAAAAAAAAGCUGUUGUGAAACAUUGGGGUUCUGUGUCUCAGCUUCAUUCAUUCAUUUGUUCAUUUAUUGAGCGCUCAUUAAGCAUAAGCUAUGUAUUAAAUGUUGCUCUAUGUUUUGGGGCCGCAAGAACAAUUAAGUCCUUACCACAAAGGGUUUACCUUCAGUUUUAGGAAGUAGAGCAUGCUGAUGAAACAUAGAAACAUGCAUCCCCAAACCAAAGAUAGACUCAUUUGCAGGAUACAGUCAAGAUAUAGAUGAGAGAGUGGUAAAUCUCUUAUUUGCACUCUAAAAACACCUACUUCAGAUCUGUCAUUCACAUCAGCUCCCCAUUUUCUCCCCAACCUCCAAUUACCUCUUUUGGCCCGAUUCUUCAGUUAUUCCCAACACCCACUCGUGAUUUGACUAAGUGCCCUCAGUACCUAUAUCCCUCACCCAUGUUGGUUUGGACCAGAUGCUCUAUUGAGCCUAGUGCUCAAUCUGUACCAGUUUAAUUGCCAUUCAGAUUUGGGCCUUGCAGCCUGCCUUGGCAACUACUUCUGCAAGACUUUUGCCGGCAGAGCUCAAAUUGUACCUCCAGAGAGCUAGAGGUUGUGUUGUACUUUCUAUGGUAAGCCUAUGACCUGGAAUUGCUUAUCCAAGCUGAAACACAAUCUACUCACCUCCUGGUUUGGGGGCAUGAUUUAAAGCCUUAAUGGUGUCUCAUCGAUUUUUUAAGGUAUGCUCAGAACUGGCACUCUGCUCUUGCAUAUUUUAAUUGUUACUGUUUUAUUCUUGCAUCCUGAGGUGAUUUUACUGGAAGAAUACAUGCUUGAAGAAGUUGAAUUAAAUACAGGUAAAUCUCAUUAAUUCAGGCUCCACUAAUUCAGGCUGUACUCAAACAUAACUUUGUGCUAUCCAGAAUUAAAAAAAGAUUUUCUAAAUAAAUUAAUGGUGGAAAUAAGACCUCAGGGGGAAGAGAAUGUUUCACCUGUUUAAAAGGCAGUGCUUCCAGACACUGUAGGGAUUUCACAAAAGCCAUCAACAUAUAAACAAUUUCCUUUGUGUUUGUUUAUUAAGGCUAAAGACUUAUUCAUCAAAUACAAAUUUCCUGUUUGGCAAACCUUUCCUUUAGUUUGUUAUUUUGUAGAGUUGGAAAAAAAUAAGGCAACACAUCUUUUAAAAUAGUCACCAAACCUAAUCCUCUCCAUAAUGCUAAAUAUAUUAUAGAUGUAUUGUAUCUACACAUAAAUACAUGUGUGUAUGGAUUAAAAAUACAAUGAAAACCUCUUAAAAUGAAGUGGCAUAUUUAUGGUGAGUAGGAGAAAAGGUGAUUUUUAUAUUCUACCUUAUAUUUGUAAGUAUUUUCUGUAAAGAAUUCUUAUUUUUAUCAUCAACAUAAACAUGUAAAAAAAUCACUAAUGUUUUUGAAUACCUAGCAGGUCUUUCUUCCCUCCAAAUAGUAGAUAUUAAGUAAAGCUGAGUCAUAUUCAGCAUUUAUGAAUGAAAAGACCUGGUAAGUAGUAUGAGAAGCUGUUGCACCACAAUUCCAAAAUUUAUCUCUAGGCCACCCUUGUUGGAAGCAAUCAAUCAGGCAGUCCAUUCAGUUUAGAAUAUGAAAGGAGCCUUGACUACCUCUUACUUUGCAUCAGCAACCACCUCUUAUUAUCUUCUCAUGGCAGGAUUGUGGGAGAAGUCGAGGAGGAUGUUGAUUCUACCUUUGUAUGUGUUCCACAGAAGUUCAGAGGUGUCUUGGUCAAACUGCGGCAGCUCACACCCAGCACAGUAACUAUGUGGUUACUGAAUACCUUAUAAGCCAUUAGGAGUGCUAAACACCUCCCAUAAAACUUCUCCAAAUCCUAUUGGUUACCAUUACAAUGAUUACAUUACAAUGAUUGCAGGUGAAUUGAAUAUCUUAUUUAUUCCAGGUAAUUUUCCAUGCACUUUAAAGAUACAAUUUACUUUUUCACCACAAAUAAUCACAGACUGAUGCUCAGGGAUAGGGAAGAAAUUGCCCAGGUUUCCACAGCUGGUGCAUUACAGAGGUGAUACUCAAAGCCAAAGUCAGCCAAAAGAAAGUCCCUACCCUCAACACAACACAGCACUGAGUGCCACAGCCUAAUAGCCACACCGCAUUCCGGCUGUUGCAAAUAUCCAUCCAGGCAGGGCACUGGGAACUUUAAAGGGCCUUGGUGUUUGCUGGUCACUCUUGAAUUUGGAUGUUUGAUUCUUGAGAUAAACAUGAGGUUGGAUUGACCAGAUAACUCUCUUGAGACUGGAACAUAUUUAUAGGCUCAGAAAAAGCACAUUAUUAAGAAAGAGCACUGGAUUAAGGGUCAGACAGUUUGAGUUUUAACCUCUGCUUCUUCCCUUAAUUAAAUAUAUGAUCUUAGCUGUGUAUUUCACCUCUCUAAACCUCAACUUUUUAAAUUGAUCAGCAUAUACACCAAUGAGGAGACAAAAUGAGAUAAAGUAUUUUAUCAUGACUUGAAACUUUCUUUUAUUAAUAUAAUUUUAAUUAAUGACAUCUUCAUCUUCGCAAUCAACUGUCCUCAAUGAUCUAAGCAUGCAAUUUAGAAUUGUCUGAACUAGAUAGUGCACAUAAGCUUUUGUUUAACAUAGACUUCAAUAGGUCUUUCUGGAAGUAAAGUGUCAUUUUAAACAAGAACGUGAGUUCAGUCUGCAAUCAGGCAGGUGUUAGUAAUUUCUAUUUUUCUUGCCUGCCCUAACCUUCUAAAACCCAAAUCAUGAACUCAGAUAUUUUAUUAUUGAUAGGAUAGAUGUCAAAUGGCUCGAUAAAUAACCAGUUAGGAAGGUUGUUCUCGCUGUAAUAAUCACAAAAUCUCAGUGUCAUAACAUUAUAAAAUUCUCUCUCUCCAUAUCAUAGUCCAAUGUCAAUUGGGUGGCUCAUCUUGGUGUCUCCUCUGUAAGUAGAAACUUGAUGAUCCAGGUGUCUUUUUCCUUGCAAUGUUUGCCUGUUAACUAUGUGUCCUCCAGGGAUUAUUGCAGGAGAGAGGGAGGGUCUUACUGAAGAUUUUGGAAAUGAGAGCUGAAUAUGUUGUGUAUUUCUUUAGGCCACAUUAUAUUGCCCAGAAUGAGUCAUGUGAUUUCAGCCUACUGCAAACCUUACUGUGUGUCCAGGAAGUGGAGAUGGAAUCUGUGAAUAUGGUGGUUUCUUUUCUGGACACGGGGCUGAAACACAGCCACCGUGCAUCAGUAUGCUGAGAGUCUGUUCUUACUGGCUGGUGUCUUUGCUGUUCCAGUUGUUCAGUAUUACGCUGGCUGAAAUUGCUUGUUAUAGUGAUUAAGAGCAGUAUUAAAAUAGGUUUAUGUUUUGUUUCAUUUCAUUUUAUUCCAUUCCCUUCCAUUUUACUUUAUUUUAUGAAGAGAGUGUAAUUUUAUUGCCACAAAUUACCAUCCCAUAUGUCUUGUAAUUGGAGUCAUAGAAUAUGUAGCCUUUCAGAUCGAGGUUUUCACUUAGCAGUAUGCAUUUAAUGUUCAUCCAUGUUUUCGAUAGCUUGAUAACUUACUUUUUUAAAUUGUUUUGUCGAACUGCUGUACCACAGUUUGUUUAUCCAUUCACGUACUGAAGGACUUGGUUGCUUCCAGCUCUUGGCAUUUAUAAUACAGCUGCUAUACAUAUUCAUGUGCAGAUUUUAUGUAUAUAAAAAGUUUCAAAUCAGUUGAGUAGAUACCUAGGGCACAAGUGUUGGAUUGCAUGGCAAGACAAUGUUUGAUUUUGUAAGAGACUGCCAAAGUGUGCAAAACGUACCAUUUUGCAUUCCCAGCAGCAAUGAAUGAGAGUUCCUGUUGCUCCAUGUUCUCACCAGCAAUUGGUACUGUCAGCUUUUUAAAAAUUUGUCAUUCUAGCAGAAGUGUAGUUGUUGGACAUCCUUUCAAAGUUUCAAAUAUUCUGGGACCAAUAUAAACAUAGCCAGACAGUGGCCUAGAAAAUUCUCUUGACAUUGACAUUAUUCACUCUGCGUGGGUGACUGGAUAGGUUAUGAUGUAAGGAAAGAUACAAUUUUCUCCAUGCAGACUGGAUAAGCAAUUGCACAGGGUUAAGCUAUAUAAAAUACUCAUUCAUUAGAGGGCUGAAUGAUCAGCUGGUAAAAUCUCUGAUUUGAUCCGUCUCUUGGGCACAGUGACAGUGCCCUUUCCAGUGGUUUUCUCUAAAUCCAUCUCCUUCACACCUUCGUGGAACAUAGGUUUGUUGCUAGAGCAUCUCUGUAAUCUAUUUUCCAUGGCAGAAUUAGCUGAAAGAUAAACAGAUUUAAAUCAUCACUUAAAUUAUAUAGAAAAUGCUGACUCUAGGGCUUAAGGGAAACACAGAGACUUGUUCUUAGAGAAACCAAGAAAUUGAUUUCUAAGGAAAAGAAUGCCUCCAGGGAAGAGGACACAGUGAUAUGAUAAGAAAGAAUCUUGAGUCCUUACCUCAGAAACUAAGCUUCCAGCUAUUCAACUUUCUCUUCUCUUUACACAAAGCAAAUAGCUAGUGUGAAAGAAUAGCCUCCAGUCAAAGAUAAUUGAUAACAUCAUAAGAUUCAGUAUUUUACCUAUGUACGAUAGAUAAGUGCAAAAACAUGUGGGAGUACCUAUAUGAACAAACCUUCACCCCAUAUUCAGAGGGAAAUAUAUUACUGAAACCAGGCAAGAAAGAAUAUAAAAUGUACAAUCAGAAGAAUAAGCAAAACCAUAAAUUAUUUAAAAGUAUUCAGAAAAAAAUAUCUCAUUGUCUGGAAAGAAAAAAUUUAACUUCAGUAAAGAAAGAAGUCCCUAAAGUAUUAUAAAAGAAGAAAACAAGAUGAUAGGGUAUAGACAUAAAAAGUGAACUAAAUUAAUUUUUAAAAAUUUAGAGGAGAAUAAUAAAACCAUUAGAGAAACUGAAUCAUCAUUAGAAGAAAAAAAAAAAGUAGAGUUAAAACUUUACCGAAUAUCAAAAUUUGUGAAGGACAAGUUUAGAAAAGUAAGAUAAAGUAACAACAAAUUGGAAAACAGUAAAAGUGAUCCAAAAAAUAUAGCUAGGAUUAUAGAAGAAAACAACCAUAUAAGUGAUUAAUGUUUCUGAAAAAGAAAACAAAUUGGGUAGAAAACAAUAUUUAUAAUGUAACAGAAAAACACUGAAUUAAAAAAAUACAUACACAAAGUGAAAGUGUGUACAGUCUUCAAAAAUUUGAUUUAGCAGAAAACCAUACCAAAUGUGAGACAUAGCUGCAUAAGUUAUUGUUUCUAAGAUAAAAAAUGACUCCUAAAGUCAUUCCAACACACACACACACACACACACACACACACACACACACUCCCCUACAGAGAGGGGAAUGAGCAAUAGACUAGUUCCUGCUGUUUUUUUGUUUUUUGUUUUUUUUUUUUCUAGGCAACAGUUAAUGCUAGCAGACAGCGAAGCAAUGUACACAGGCAAGGUGUACCCUGCUCUAAGGGAAGGGAAGUGUGACCCAAGGACUUCAUGCCAUGCCAAAUUGGUGUUCAAGAAUAAAGGCAAUCAAAAACCAUUUUUAUACAUGGUAGAGCUCAGAGCAAAUGUCACCCAUGAGCCUUUCUUGAAAAAAGAUGUGGUCAUAAAGUCCAGUCAACCAAGAAAUGAAGCAAAAUAAAAUGCAUAGAAAUGGAGGAACUAUGGUAACAAAGUUCUAUGUACUGAAUUUAUUUUAAUUUGAACUAACUUUAAAGAAAGUUUGGAAUUUUGGUUAAUAUGCAAAAUGUUGAGUAUUAUAAACCAUGAAAAUUAUACGAAAAUGAAACUAACAUAAAUUAGAAGUGAGAAACAGGGUGGUGAAUGGAAGUUUGUGUAUGAGUGUGUAUUUGUAUGUGCACACAUGCUAAUUUUUAAAAGUUUUCAU
Long non-coding RNA from Cercocebus atys (sooty mangabey), 11397 nucleotides. RefSeq lists it as uncharacterized. The transcript has 3 exons. The record is from RefSeq and is a predicted model, not a curated record. NCBI's taxonomy places the organism in Eukaryota, Metazoa, Chordata, Mammalia, Primates, Cercopithecidae.